Molecule: long non-coding RNA, 263 nt
Filed under: Setaria viridis
Lineage: Eukaryota; Viridiplantae; Streptophyta; Magnoliopsida; Poales; Poaceae
Description: long non-coding RNA (SVIR_LNC004451)
Source: RNAcentral
GACGGGUAUGGUGUCCUGUAGGUGUAAGUUUGUACCUUCGGCUUGAAGCCGAAUUGUUCCUGAAUCACUUCUGCAAUACGUGCCGACCAAUCCGGCUGUUGCUCAUGAACCGUUGGCUGUGGUAUUGGCACGUGUUGGUAAAUCGGAGGUGGAAUAGCCUGAUGCUGAGUGAAAGCAGAUGGCAUUUGAGUGAAAGCCGACUGUGUGUUAAAGGUCGGCUGUUUGAACGAGCCACUCGUUUCAUCAUACAGCACAAGCUCUGC